This 837-nucleotide ribosomal RNA is filed under the name Escherichia coli. RNAcentral's name for it is "partial 23S ribosomal RNA". It matches the Rfam family "Bacterial large subunit ribosomal RNA", at positions 353 to 1194 of the family's 2925-position model. Lineage: Bacteria; Pseudomonadati; Pseudomonadota; Gammaproteobacteria; Enterobacterales; Enterobacteriaceae. The record is from RNAcentral.
UGCGAUACAGGGUGACAGCCCCGUACACAAAAAUGCACAUACUGUGAGCUCGAUGAGUAGGGCGGGACACGUGGUAUCCUGUCUGAAUAUGGGGGGACCAUCCUCCAAGGCUAAAUACUCCUGACUGACCGAUAGUGAACCAGUACCGUGAGGGAAAGGCGAAAAGAACCCCGGCGAGGGGAGUGAAAAAGAACCUGAAACCGUGUACGUACAAGCAGUGGGAGCACGCUUAGGCGUGUGACUGCGUACCUUUUGUAUAAUGGGUCAGCGACUUAUAUUCUGUAGCAAGGUUAACCGAAUAGGGGAGCCGAAGGGAAACCGAGUCUUAACUGGGCGUUAAGUUGCAGGGUAUAGACCCGAAACCCGGUGAUCUAGCCAUGGGCAGGUUGAAGGUUGGGUAACACUAACUGGAGGACCGAACCGACUAAUGUUGAAAAAUUAGCGGAUGACUUGUGGCUGGGGGUGAAAGGCCAAUCAAACCGGGAGAUAGCUGGUUCUCCCCGAAAGCUAUUUAGGUAGCGCCUCGUGAAUUCAUCUCCGGGGGUAGAGCACUGUUUCGGCAAGGGGGUCAUCCCGACUUACCAACCCGAUGCAAACUGCGAAUACCGGAGAAUGUUAUCACGGGAGACACACGGCGGGUGCUAACGUCCGUCGUGAAGAGGGAAACAACCCAGACCGCCAGCUAAGGUCCCAAAGUCAUGGUUAAGUGGGAAACGAUGUGGGAAGGCCCAGACAGCCAGGAUGUUGGCUUAGAAGCAGCCAUCAUUUAAAGAAAGCGUAAUAGCUCACUGGUCGAGUCGGCCUGCGCGGAAGAUGUAACGGGGCUAAACCAUGCAC